CAACCCUCAAGCACCGCUUGGUUUUGGGGCCCUACAGCUGAUGUAGGCCCUCAAAGGUAGUGGCGGACCCUCCCGGAGCCUCCUUUGCGUAGUAACUUUACGUCUCGCAUUGGGAUCCGGAGGGACUCUUGCCGUAAAACCCCCAAUUUUCCAAA
This 155-nucleotide unclassified non-coding RNA is filed under the name uncultured Glomerella. RNAcentral's name for it is "sequence contains ITS2". The record is from RNAcentral. Lineage: Eukaryota; Fungi; Ascomycota; Sordariomycetes; Glomerellales; Glomerellaceae.